Molecule: long non-coding RNA, 685 nt
Organism: Empidonax traillii (willow flycatcher)
Lineage: Eukaryota; Metazoa; Chordata; Aves; Passeriformes; Tyrannidae
Exons: 4
Source: RefSeq, a predicted model, not a curated record
CUGCCUAUGAUGUACAGGAACAAGAAGAUGGCUUGCGAGUACUGAGCGACGGUGUUGGACCAGGCAGAUCCCCUGCAGAGGAAGCGAGAAAGGCGCCGCGUUGUCCGCCUCCCCGGGACACGGGGGUGCCACUCACGUGAUGCCGAAGUGGAACACGUAGAGGAAGAUGCAGUUUGCCACCACGUUGACGACGUUGCCGAUGACCCCGCUCAGCACCAGCGGCCACAUGAUCAUCUGCAGAGAAGAGGAGACGGGGCCACAGCGCCUUCACAAAGGCUCCGGGAGGGAGGUGAGAAGGUCCCCACCAGCCCCCCACCCCGGGCUCAGCGCCUUUCCCAGACAAAAAAUAAACUUCCAGUGGUGUUGCCUGCUUGGGAAAUGAAUGUGUUGGAGUGUCACUGGGGUGGGGGGGAGUUCAUGCCUGGCACCGGGAAUGCUUACAGCGAUGGCCAGCGUGACGGAGGCCAGCUCAACCUUGCCCAGGUGACCACAGAAUAUGGAGCUAACAAGGUGUAUCAGGAAGAUCAGCAGCUGGAUCAGGAUCUAAGCACAGAGGAGAGGAGAGGCGAAGCUCCCGGGUGGGAGGUUGUCCUGGCCAGAGGCCACUGCCUCACCGUUCUCCUCGGGGAGGUUCUCUGUCUUCGUGCUGCCAUUCUCCCCAGGAAGGUUCUCCGGCUUCAUGCUG